GUCCUCUCAAAAUAUCUUUAACAAAAGAGUCCUUAUGGUACCCUACAACUUCCCUGUUUCUAAUAAGCUCAGUUAUAUCAGUAAUUGCGGGCUGCAGCUGUUGAACAGUUAGAAGGCUGGAUAAACUUGCAGUGUAACUCUGAGUGAUAAUGAGUACAACUAAACUCCAUAUGAUUACCACUAUCCGAGCCAAGUUGUUGAUCACCUUCUCUCGUUGGGAAAAAACAAUGGUUGAGAAGGCAAACCAUAAGCUGGUGCCGGCUUGUUGUGAAGGAGGUCCUCGGAAGUCUUUGUUUAUUCUGUGU
RNAcentral lists this unclassified non-coding RNA (305 nucleotides) under Hevea brasiliensis (rubber tree). The record is from RNAcentral. Lineage: Eukaryota; Viridiplantae; Streptophyta; Magnoliopsida; Malpighiales; Euphorbiaceae.